CCUACGGGAGGCAGCAGUGGGGGAUAUUGCACAAUGGGGGGAACCCUGAUGCAGCGACGCCGCGUGGGUGAAGAAGCGCCUCGGCGCGUAAAGCCCUGUCAGCAGGGAAGAAAAUGACGGUACCUGAAGAAGAAGCCCCGGCUAACUACGUGCCAGCAGCCGCGGUAAUACGUAGGGGGCAAGCGUUAUCCGGAUUUACUGGGUGAAAAGGGGGCGCAGACGGCGAUGCAAGCCAGGAGUGAAAGCCCGGGGCUCAACCCCGGGACGGCUCUUGGAACUGGGUGGCUGGAGGGCAGGAGGGGCAGGCGGAAUUCCUGGUGUAGCGGUGAAAUGCGUAGAUAUCAGGAGGAACACCAGUGGCGAAGGCGGCCUGCUGGACUGCAACUGACGUUGAGGCCCGAAAGCGUGGGGAGCAAACAGGAUUAGAUACCCCAGUAGUC
This 440-nucleotide ribosomal RNA is filed under the name uncultured bacterium. RNAcentral's name for it is "partial 16S ribosomal RNA". It matches the Rfam family "Bacterial small subunit ribosomal RNA", at positions 338 to 795 of the family's 1533-position model. The record is from RNAcentral.